Non-coding RNA from Pelobates cultripes (western spadefoot toad), 328 nucleotides. The record is from the annotation of a GenBank genome assembly. NCBI's taxonomy places the organism in Eukaryota, Metazoa, Chordata, Amphibia, Anura, Pelobatidae.
GGCAGUGUGUGCUAUAUGUAGUGACAAGGCUAGGUCAGCAUAGGCAGUGUGUGCUAUAUGUAGUGACCAGGCUAGGUCAGUAUAGGCAGUGUGCGCUAUAUGUAAUGACCAGGCUAGGUCAGUAUAGGCUGUGUGCGCUAUAUGUAGUGACAAGGCUAGGUCAUCAUAGGCAGUGUGCGCUAUAUGUAGUGACAAGGCUAGGUCAGUAUAGCCAGUGUGUGCUAUAUGUAGUGACCAGGCUAGGUCAGUAUAGGCUGUGUGCGCUAUAUGUAGUGACAAGGCUAGGUCAGUAUAGGAUGUGUGCGCUAUAUGUAGUGACAAGCAUUGC